RNAcentral lists this long non-coding RNA (2937 nucleotides) under Zostera marina. Its description in RNAcentral is "long non-coding RNA (ZMAR_LNC004071)". The record is from RNAcentral. Lineage: Eukaryota; Viridiplantae; Streptophyta; Magnoliopsida; Alismatales; Zosteraceae.
AAUUUCUUUUAGUUUCGCAAAAGCUUUUUAGAAUUCAGGUAACUAAAAUCCGCGGAUCUUCUCAACCAUAGGGGCAUAGGAAGUGUGGGAAUGUAAUGUAGAAAAUAAGGAUUUGGGUAUUUUUGGGCAAUACCUAGCUCAAUACACCACUGGACAUGAGUGGGUCAUACCAGCAAAGGUUAUAGCCAGAUUAUGUGGAUACUAAUGAAAAGUCAUUUAUGAAGAAAACGAAUAAUAGUAAGGAAAUUACCUUAACUUGUCGAUGGCGAUGAUCCAAAUUCUACGUAAUAAUUAUGUAGAAGUCACCUAAAAAAUAAAUAUCCAUUAAUAAAUGUUUUUAAGUACUGUUAGAAAAUACAAUCUUUACUAAGUAAUAAUAUAAUUCGUCUAUAAAAAUUAUGAACACUUUUUUAGAAUUCAUUACGUUUGGUUGUUAUGACUAUCACCUACAUGUAGUUCUUCAUAUUCUGUGAACUAAGUUUCUUCUAGGGGAACUUGACUAGUUAAUUGUUCAUUUGAAUAAAAUCACUUAGGAUUGAAUUUUAAAUACCUCUCCUUUGAAAUUCAUUAUUCAGGCCUAGUGACUGUUUAGCAAAAGAGGAUGAAGGUUAUUAGAACCUAUCCAUGUAAUUUCUAUUUUGUUAAAAAGUUCUCAUAAAAUGUUUAGCGUAGUAUCCUACUCCUAUAGAUUCUUAUAUAAACAAGAGGAAUAACCUAAUAUGAAUCGAUUUUUUUUUCUUUGCAUAUAGUAAACCUAAAAAAGCGUAAGCAUCUUAUACUGUAGUUGUCGUUCGUGGGAGCUUCCUCAAUCAUCCUGCACAGAAAAAAUUCCAUUAAGUUCGAUAGUGUGAUAAAAUUAUAUUGUUUUUACUAUAGAUAUUAGUAAUUAGAAUAACCAUUCAAUAUUCAUACAUAAGUGUUUUACUUAUACUGUGCAAUAAUCGAGACAGAAGCAUUACUGAUCAGGAGAAACUCAACCAGGCAAUUCAAGAACGUAUGAUGAAUUAGGUACAUAAGGACCUAUGAUAGAUUAUUAUUUUUGUGCAAAUAAUAAUAAAACUACCGGCCGAUUAAACCUAAACUCUGCUCUGGAUAACAGUGAGCAAAACCAGUACAUCCCACAGAUAGAUUCUAUGCAUACUAACUUUAGUGUGCUCUUAUGAAAUCUUAUGAUAUUUUCAAAAUAAUCGAUAGAAAUCUAAAAAUACUCAUGUGUAUGACGACUUAUUAAACAGAAUCACAUAUGUAUUCAUACGAUGCCUAAUCGGAAAAUAUGACAAUAUAAUUAAUCAAAAAUGAAGAUAAUUCGAAAUGACAUCCUUCAUACUUGGUCAGUGAUAUUUUGUAUAACGAAAAUGUAAAACCGCCGGACAUGAGUGGGUGAUACCAGCGAAGGUUAUAGCCAGAUUAUGUGGAUACUAAUGAAGAGUCAUUUAUCAUGAAAAGUAAUAGUAGUUGGGAAAGUACCUUAACUUGUCGAUGGCGAUGAUCCAAAUUUUUAGAUAUAUUUAAGUAGAAGUCACCUGAAAAUUAAAUACCAAAUAAUACAUUUUUUUGAGUACUGGUAGAAAUUACCCUCUUUACUAAGUUAUAUUAAAUUUCAUCUAUAAAAAUUAUGGACACUUUUUUAGAAUUCAUUAGGUUUCGUUGUUAUGACUAUCACCUACUUGUAGUUCUUCAGAUUCUGUGAACAAAGUUUCUUUGAGGGGAACCUGACUAGUUCACUGAUGAUUUGAAGAAAAUCAUUCAAAAAUGAAUUUUAAAUAACUCUCCUUUGAGAUUCAUUAUUUAGGCCCAGUGACUGUUUAGCAAAAAAGGAUGAAGGUUAUUAGAACCUAUCUAUGUAUUUUCUAGUUUGUUCAAAAGUUUCCAUAAAAUGUUGAGCGUAAUAUCCUAAUCCUAUAGAUUGUUAUAAAAAGUAGACGCAUUUCCUAAUAUGAAUCGAUGUUUUUUUUUGCAUAUAGUAAACCUAGCAAAUCGUAAUCAUCUUACACUGUAGUUGUCGUUCGUGGGAACUUCCUCAUUCAUCCUGCACAGAAAAAAUGCCAUCGAGUCCAAUAGUGGGAUAAAAGUAUCUUGUUUUUACUACAGAUAUUAGUAUUUAGAAUAACGAUUCAAUAUUCAUACAUUAGUGUUUACUUAUACUGUGCAAUGAUCGAGAAAGUAACAUUAUUUAACAGGAAAAAUCAAAAUCGAUCAAUUCAAGAACUUGUGAUAAAUUAGGGGCCCAAUGACCUGUAAUAGAUUAUUAUUUUUGUGCUAAUCAUAAUAAUACUGAUGCCCGAUUAAACCUAAAGUCUAAUUUGGAUAGCAGUGAGCUAAACUAGUGCAUCCCACAAAUAGAUUCCAUGCAUACUAACUACUAAUGUGUUGGUAUGAUAUCCUCUGAUAUUUUCAAAAUAAUCGAUUUAAAUCAAAAACUACUAAUGUGUAUGACGAAUUAUUAUACAGAAUUACAUUUCUAUUCGUACAAUGCCUAAUCAGAAAAUAUGACCAUAAAAUUAAUCAAAAAUGAAUACAAUUCGAAAUGACAUCCCUCAUACUUGGUCAGGCAUAUUUUGUAAAUCUAACAUGUAAAACCUCUUGUGGCAAAAUGCUUUGAACAGCUAAUAUGAAAUUAGUUAAAGUAAAUAGAUCCAUGAUUAAUACUAAUUCCUUAAUGUGGAAAGGGCAAUAGUAAUUAUAACAAAGUCCUUUGUUUGAUUAGUUAUACCGUAUCGAAUUUCUUUUAGUUUCGCAAAAGCUUUUUAGAAUUCAGGUAACUAAAAUCCGCGGAUCUUCUCAACCAUAGGGGCAUAGGAAGUGUGGGAAUGUAAUGUAGAAAAUAAGGAAUUGGGUAUUUUUGGGCAAUACCUAGCUCAAUACACCACUGGACAUGAGUGGGUCAUACCAGCGAAGGUUAUAGCCAGAUUAUGUGGAUACUAAUGAAAAGUCAUU